AUUGAACGCUGGCGGCAGGCCUAACACAUGCAAGUCGAACGGUAACAGGGAUCAGCUUGCUGAUUCGCUGACGAGUGGCGGACGGGUGAGUAAUGUCUGGGAAACUGCCUGAUGGAGGGGGAUGACUACUGGAAACGGUAGCUAAUACCGCAUAACGUCGCAAGACCAAAGAGGGGGACCUUCGGGCCUCUUGCCAUCGGAUGUGCCCAGAUGGGAUUAGCUAGUAGGUGGGGUAACGGCUCACCUAGGCGACGAUCCCUAGCUGGUCUGAGAGGAUGACCAGCCACACUGGAACUGAGACACGGUCCAGACUCCUACGGGAGGCAGCAGUGGGGAAUAUUGCACAAUGGGCGCAAGCCUGAUGCAGCCAUGCCGCGUGUAUGAAGAAGGCCUUCGGGUUGUAAAGUACUUUCAGCGGGGAGGAAGGGAGUAAAGUUAAUACCUUUGCUCAUUGACGUUACCCGCAGAAGAAGCACCGGCUAACUCCGUG
This 490-nucleotide ribosomal RNA is filed under the name uncultured bacterium. RNAcentral describes it as "partial 16S ribosomal RNA". It matches the Rfam family "Bacterial small subunit ribosomal RNA", at positions 30 to 507 of the family's 1533-position model. The record is from RNAcentral.